GACGAACGCUGGCGGCGUGCUUAACACAUGCAAGUCGAACGGAAAGGCCCUGCUUUUGUGGGGUGCUCGAGUGGCGAACGGGUGAGUAACACGUGAGUAACCUGCCCUUGACUUUGGGAUAACUUCAGGAAGCUGGGGCUAAUACCGGAUAGGAGCUCCUGCUGCAUGGUGGGGGUUGGAAAGUUUCGGCGGUUGGGGAUGGACUCGCGGCUUAUCAGCUUGUUGGUGGGGUAGUGGCUUACCAAGGCUUUGACGGGUAGCCGGCCUGAGAGGGUGACCGGCCACAUUGGGACUGGGAUACGGCCCAGACUCCUACGGGAGGCAGCAGUGGGGAAUAUUGCACAAUGGGCGGAAGCCUGAUGCAGCAACGCCGCGUGCGGGAUGACGGCCUUCGGGUUGUAAACCGCUUUCGCCUGUGACGAAGCGUGAGUGACGGUAAUGGGUAAAGAAGCACCGGCUAACUACGUG
Molecule: ribosomal RNA, 468 nt
Filed under: uncultured bacterium
Lineage: Bacteria
Description: partial 16S ribosomal RNA
Rfam family: Bacterial small subunit ribosomal RNA
Source: RNAcentral